This is a long non-coding RNA of Lolium rigidum, 306 nucleotides long. RefSeq lists it as uncharacterized. The record is from RefSeq and is a predicted model, not a curated record. Lineage: Eukaryota; Viridiplantae; Streptophyta; Magnoliopsida; Poales; Poaceae. The transcript has 3 exons.
GCGGAGUCUGAUUACCGUCAGAUAGGGUUUGGGUGUGCAGAAGAUUUUCAUAGCAAUGACAAUUGCAGAAUUGGUGUUGUCCAUGGUUACUAUAGCCUGAAGGACCAUCCACGGCAAGUCGAAUCUCGAAUGGCAUGUAUUUAUAUGGAUUUGAGGUGAACCAACUGAUUUUGCCUUGCUGUCAUAUCAUUGUAAGUCGCUCUAAUCCUUUGCUUACACAGAUGCACAUGAUUUGCCAAUUUGUUCAGUGUGUUCGAUACUUCGAUUGCUGUUCUUUUUAGGAAGUGUCACGUGCCUAAGGUUUCA